Pipra filicauda (Wire-tailed manakin) is the source of this 1031-nucleotide long non-coding RNA. RefSeq lists it as uncharacterized. The record is from RefSeq and is a predicted model, not a curated record. The transcript has 4 exons. NCBI's taxonomy places the organism in Eukaryota, Metazoa, Chordata, Aves, Passeriformes, Pipridae.
UUUUUUCUGUAUUUUUUUGAUAGAGUUCAUAUGUAAGAAAGGGGAAGUCACAACUGUAGUGGUGAUGUGGAAUGCUGGUCAAAAAUUUCCUUGGGCAGUUUCAACAGGUGAAACAUCAUGUCAGAAAUAGUCAGCUAGGCAGUAAAACUGAGGAAGGAAAACCAGGAAGAUUGUCAGAAAUGUGUUCCUGGCUGAGUGACAGAGACCCACUGCAACAAGCAUGCAAACGUGCAUAAUCAGUUGUGUGAGCAGUGUUGCUGAAAUUAAGGGAAGGAAAGAUGUAAAAAGGAAGGAUAUUACUACAAGUAUUAUUUUUCAGGUUUUCAACCUUCAAUCUGUGGAAUAGUUUGGCUUUUACUGCUCAGCUUUACAAAACACUUCAAAAAGUAUUGAUGUAACAGAGGAAGGAAUAUGAGUAAUUGAGCAAUAUAGGCUCUUAGAUCUCACAUUUCUAUGACUCAUAAAAUUCAGGCUAUGAAAAGUAGGACAAGCUUUAAUGCAAGGAAUAACACAAACAUUAAUGUCAGUUUAUUUUUUUCCAUCAAUAACUUUGAAUCACAAAAGGUUUCCCCAUUUUUUCUCUAUUUUAAGGAGGAAAAGAAUUCACAGCUCCAUCUUCACUGCUCUGCUUAGCGAAGACCAAGGACAAACAAACGGCAGGAAAACCUGGAGAGUGUUUUGCUGCAGAUUGGGAGCAGCCACUAGGAGGGGCUGACUGCCUUGUAGAGAAGAACUUAUCGGUUAUGAAAGAUGACAGAGUGAUGAUUCUGACCUCUUAUUCAGAGGUAUUUUGGAAAAGAUUGCAUAUUUCAACCAGAGAUCAAGGACCAUGAAAAAAGAUCAGAGUUCCAAUAUGGCCAUGCUCUUGAAAGGGAAGCACCAAAUGCACAGCUCAUUUAUCAAGGCAAAAGUGUUUAACUAUGACCUUAAGCACAUGCUGCUGCUUGUUAGUUUAACUGAAGCUACACAAACAUGAUAAAAGGGAUCACAGCAGACGGUGGCAGAAAGGAUCAAGGUCAGGGAUAGUGAAG